RNAcentral lists this unclassified non-coding RNA (256 nucleotides) under Hevea brasiliensis (rubber tree). The record is from RNAcentral. Lineage: Eukaryota; Viridiplantae; Streptophyta; Magnoliopsida; Malpighiales; Euphorbiaceae.
UUCGGUUCGGUUCGGUUCUAACCGAAUGCUCACCCCUAGAAAUGGUUAUGUGCCAGCAUACAGUUUUAAUAAUCAACUCUUAUACUAGUGAAAGUGGAGUUGCAAUGAGUCAAUUUGAUUAUAAGAAUGGNNNNNNNNNNUAUAGAAAUGGUCCUGAAAUGCUUUGACAAACAAAGCCUUUGAAGGAAAAGCAACUAAUAGUUCUCAUCCAGGACAUAACUAGUUUUCAGAUGGGAAUCAUACUUGAGGAAAAGAC